RNAcentral lists this ribosomal RNA (279 nucleotides) under uncultured bacterium. RNAcentral describes it as "partial 16S ribosomal RNA". It matches the Rfam family "Bacterial small subunit ribosomal RNA", at positions 506 to 784 of the family's 1533-position model. The record is from RNAcentral.
UGCCAGCAGCCGCGGUAAUACGUAAGUCCCAAGCGUUACCCGGAAUCACUGGGUGUAAAGGGUUCGUAGGCGGAACAAUAAGUUGGAUAUGAAAGACCGAAGCUCAACUUCGUGUUUGUAUUCAAAACUGUUAUUCUAGAAUUAGGGAGAGGUAAGCGGAAUUCUGAGUGUAGGGGUGCAAUCCGUAGAUACUCAGAGGAACACCAAAAGCGAAGGCAGCUUACUGGAACUAUAUUGACGCUGAGGAACGAAAGCGUGGGUAGCGAAAAGGAUUAGAUA